Molecule: long non-coding RNA, 4503 nt
Organism: Athene cunicularia (burrowing owl)
Lineage: Eukaryota; Metazoa; Chordata; Aves; Strigiformes; Strigidae
Exons: 2
Source: RefSeq, a predicted model, not a curated record
ACAGGCGUGGCGGCGCCUCGUCCGCUCGACGCCGAGCCCCGGCUUCUCUCUGCCAGAGCUGAGGGCUGCCGGGCCCACUGCUCCCCGAGCUCUGCCUUGGGUGGAAGUCUCGAGGGUGGCGGUGGCAGCGGACCCCAGGUCCCAGCUGGAGCGGGAUCAGUCGGUGUUAGGGCUUGAGGAAGGGAAAAACCUGUCUGUCCAGGGAGCGGGGGCACACGCGGUGUGAGCAGGAGGCUGCAGCAACGAGGACUUUUCAUGUUCCUCUUGGGAUGUGGAGGCUUAUAGACGGAGGUGAUGGGGGAGUAGGAGGUUUGAUUUUUUUUUUUUUCCUAUAUUUUUAUCCUAUGAGAUUGAAUUGGUGACCAGUCUCAGAUUUUGAGACUGAAGUAAACUUGUGAAGGCUUAGAAGUGCAGGAUCUGUAUACUUGUUUCCUGACUGGCAGUAGGGAUUUCUUCUUCAGUUCUUUUCUUGCUGCUGUACUGUUACAGGUGUUUCUUCUAAACUGAGACAUAUGAAAAGGUGUUGUCAUUUACUCCUCAUGUGCUGUCUUUUACAAGUCCUGUGUCUGCUGGAUUUACAUGGUCAUUUGCUAAUAAGUCUGACAUUUGUUUUACUACUUCUUUACUUACCUCUUUUCCUUUUUGAGCUUUGGUUUCAGAAAUGGGUAGGUUGUCAGUUGCUGCUUAGUCUGAACUCUUAAUACUCUUUCCAGCUGUGAUAUAAUAGACCAGCAAGUUUUCUAAUAGGUUAAUAUUUGCACUGUGCCUUGGAAAGGCUGAGGUACGUGGGGCUUUGGGUAGGUACAUCUCAAAGCAUUUGUCCCAUCAGAUGCUGCUAGACAGUUGUUUGAGGAUUUUAUUUGGUUUUUAAUGGUAACUUGAGUUUAUUUUAUCCUUUAGUUGCUCUUUGCAACAUUGUAGCAUCUCAUAUCACUUAAUAUUAAAGUUGGCAUUUGAACUUUAUUUCUAGGAAUGAAUUAUUCUUAAAAUAAGUAAUGUGUUAGGAGGCCAGUUGGUUACUCUUCAGUGUGUGGGCUUGGGAAAUUUGAUUUCAGAUAUUUUUGUUUCUCUUUUUAAGUACUGAAUUCUGGCCUUUGCCACUGAAUUUUCAUGUUAAUUUACAGUGUGGUCUAAAUGCUUGUGUUGUUUCAAAGAGUGGCCCUUUUAUGGUUCUUGUUCAUCUCAAGCUUUGGGUUGCUCUACAUGAAUAGUGUGCUGGCUUUUUUUUUGUGUGUGGUGUUUUUUGUUGUUUUUUUUAAAGUUAGUGUGCAUAGCCAGACAGAUUUGAGUGUUACCAAAAUCCAAAAGAAACCCGUUGAAACAUUUAAAAGAAAAUGUUUGUGUACUUGAUGCUAAAUAAAGAAGGCCUUGAAUUGAGUAUACACUGAUAAAGUUUCUGCUCUGCAGUUGGAAGAUACUACAGUUUGAUUCAUUUAGGAGGCCUGAUUACAGCUGGUUGGGUGCUUAUCUUGUUUUGGCUCUGUUAACUUUGAUAGGUUGAUUUUAUUUUUUUGUGUUAUUUUUUUCCCCCUUAAAUUUUGGAAGUGGGAGUUCUGGAAGAGACUUAAAUGUGUGAAGUUUUUGCACUUGAUUUUGCUCCUGUAUUGCUCUAGUACCCACCUCCAGUAAAGGGCCACAAGACUGUAGAGCACAGGUCUGGUGAAGUUCAGGUAAAGGGUGUAGGAAUGGCCACUGUGGCUUUACUUGCAGGAGAACACUGAAGGCUAUUAAGCCACUAUGCAUUUGUCACAAGUCUGUCCCUGAUCUGAAGCAUGUGUUAUUGCUAGAAAUGGUCAUCACAGAGACUCUUGGUGUUUUAUUCUGGUAGUGCUGAGCUAAUAUACCAGCAUGGUGCAAUGGCACAGGGAAAUGAGGGGAGGAAGAGUUGUGUCUCUCUGAGCGUAACAUAGAGCAGAGGUGCUGGCUGUUGCUGCUAGAUACCAUUUGCCAACUUUUUCUUUCCCUUAAGAGAAGUUACUUGUGCUGGCCAAAUGCCACCUGAGAAGUUGUAUUCUCUCCAGAUAUGUUGUGCAGAUAAAGAUACUUCACUCCUCCACAAAAAAAAAAAAAAAAAAAUUCAGCUGUAUUUGUUACAGUCAUUAUUUUUUCUGUGGUUGAAUAUUGGGGUCAACACAUUCCCUGGCUGGUUUUCCAGGCUCACUGAGACUGCAUGAUAUGGAAACCAUGCCCCAUUGUAGCUAUUACCCUGCUUGGGGCAUUUGCCUAUCAGGACAGAGCUUUGGCAGGGUACAGACUUUCUUUCAACACUUCUGGAGUUCAUUUGUGAAGAUUGAAAGUAACCAGUGUAUUGAGCAAUACAAGUGUUGUCUCCCUGAAUCCAGACUGAGAUUCAUUUGUCGCUCUUAGCGAAUGGAUUGGCCGUUGCAACAAGCUGUCUAAAGGUAGUGGGGAGCCUCUCCAUACUUGAUGCUGCAAUUCAAGGCCAGAAACUUUUCUGAAAGAUGUUCAAGCUUUUGGGCUCAAUUCAGCAGUAAUGAAGUGGAAACUUUACAGCCAGCAUUACAUGAGGUUCAGACAGGAUAGUCCAGUGGGCUUUUUGACUUCAAGUUUUAUGUGUUGAUGCUGUUACAGCCAAGAUACCUUCUUCGUUUUCUGCAAAGUGCCACACCAUCUCAGGUGUACCUGUCCUGGUCUGAGUACAUGGUUUGGUGAGCAACUGAGCUGACCAACAGCUCCCAGGGGCACAUCUCCUUCCCAAUUCUGCCAGUGUGGGCCCAUCCUAUCCUUUGAGCUUUGGUACUCAUCCAGCCUGGCCCCAAGCUGAUUCGUCUCACUAAACCAUCAGGAAACUAUCUUGUUUUAAUUGUGUUUUAUUCUGGCUGCAUUAAUCCUUUUAUAGGUUCCUGUGGUUGAGUUGGCUCACAGAGGGGCCAGACAAGCUCAGAAACUGGUGUAAGGAAAUCAGCAGUAGAGUAAGAAGGAGAGGGAAGGACAGGCCUGCCUCCUUUUGGCCUCCCAAAGCUAUUGGCUUGGUUAACCCCGUUUUGUGUAGCUUCACCCUGGUGCAUUUUCUUAUGGCUCCUAUGCAGGAGACUGGACUAGGGGAUCUUGGUCCGAUCCUCUGCAACAGUUCUUUUCCUUAAUACCAAAUCUGCUUUUCCACUGCAGCUUUCCAGCCUUUUGCUGUAUGCAUUUCUAUUGUUGCUUCUUUGUUUUAAUUUGUAUUAUUUUUCUUCCUCUACAUUUCCUCUAAGUGACCAGUCCUUUACUGUAUGGAACUUCUUCAGACUCCAGCUUAGACCUGUUUGCCUAUCCACGGUUGCUCUCGGAGAAGGUUUAAAAAAUACACAGCAAAGCCUGUCUUAGGAGACCAGUCAAGGAGCUGAUGAAAGUGGUUGCUUAGUGGAGGGGGCCUAAUAAAAUUGGUGUGGAAUUGUACUGUGCAUCUUUGGGACAGCUUCUGGGUGGUCUCUUUGGAUGAGUUCGCAUCCUGCCGGUGUGGUGUUGUGCGGGUUUCACUGUGUUGUCAAGUGAACUGAGAUGUGUUUGUUUCCCAGCCUCAUAGGGUGCGAUAGCCCCAGCAAGUGCUUCCCUAAGUAAUCGGCGCCUUCGGCCUUGCUCAUUGUGAUCUCACAAGCCAUCGCGUCUGUGAUGUCACAAUGGAAGAGAUUCUGAUGCUCUGACAUAGCUGACAUAUCUGAUGGUGCCUUUGACAUAUCAGCCAAGAAACGCAGCGGGAAGAAUGUGCUCAAGAAACGGGAGAGAUCUUCCUUAACCCAAGAGUGGUUUUCUAUCCUUUAGUCAGCCCUUUCCAUGUUCACUUACCUCUUGCAUAAUGGCCAUACAGAGGGAAGCUGAUGCCUAUAUAGAGUGAUUUUUUUUUUUUUUUAAUUGAGCUAUCAAGAUGCGCGUAUCUGUCAGAUGAGCGGUUGCCUGACUCUGCUCCUGUAACCUUCAUUCUUCUCUGCUGUUACCCUUACUUGUUGUAUUGCAUCUAAUUUUAGACUGUAAGUUCUUGAGAACAGGGACCUCUUCAUCUGUAGUGGGAAGAGGCUGGGUGCGAUUGCAGAGUGCUGUAAAAACAAAAUAAUUGAUGCCAAGUUGUAUCUGCGCUGAGUAAUGAUGGGACAGCAUAUAGGCAUCCCGUGGCAAUGCUUUGGGAAAGUCAUGUUACAAAUUUUCCAAGACACGGGCUUGGUUGUCUAGCAGUGCUGGAGACAAACCCAAUCCUAAAGUGAAAGGAUUGCAACCAUGAAAGUGUACAGGAUUCAUGUUCAAGGAAAGAUAUUAUGAAGUUAACAAAUUAAAGAAGCAAAUUUACCUGUCUAAAAUUAUUACAUUAUUAAAACAGUUCUAAAAGCUUUGUGUUUUGUUGUUUAUUUUACUUUAUGGUGGGGUUUUUUUCAACUUUGGAUGGUGACUGUGUAUAAGCUGGUUUUGUUUAUAGUCUCUUGUUUCCUGACUCGCAGGCUGGCCAGGUGCUGUCAUUUUUGGACUGUAGUUGAUCUAAUGAAAUAUUUGGAUUUAGGUUAAGGCUGAUUU